CAAGUUGAAAUCAAUGGAGGAGUUGCAGAUAUAACUGUUGACAAGGAUUUGAAGAGGGUAUCUGCAGAUAUUAUAUCUAAGGCUUGUUUUGGUAACUCUUACUCCCAAGGCAAACAAAUCUUUGCAAAAUUGGAAGUCCUCCAAGGAGUUAUGUCUAAACCGAGUAUACUUUUUGGACUCGCAAACUUCAGAUUUCUUCCCACGGAGAGCAAUAGGAAAAUGUGGACCUUACAGAAAGAGAUAGAGACACUGAUACUGGACGUAGUCAAG
RNAcentral lists this unclassified non-coding RNA (270 nucleotides) under Hevea brasiliensis (rubber tree). The record is from RNAcentral. Lineage: Eukaryota; Viridiplantae; Streptophyta; Magnoliopsida; Malpighiales; Euphorbiaceae.